GAUGAAGAACGCAGCGAAAUGCGAUAAGUAAUGUGAAUUGCAGAAUUCAGUGAAUCAUCGAAUCUUUGAACGCACAUUGCGCCCGCCAGUAUUCUGGCGGGCAUGCCUGUUCGAGCGUCAUUUCAACCAUCAAGCCCCCGGCUUGUGUUGGGGACCUGCGGCUGCCGCAGGCCCUGAAAUGCAGUGGCGGGCUCGCUGUCACUCCGAGCGUAGUAGUUACAUCUCGCUCUGGGCGUGCUGCGGGUUCCGGCCGUUAAACCCCUUUACCCCAAGGUUGACCUCGGAUCAGGUAGGAAGACCCGCUGAACUUAAGCAUAUCAAUAAGCGGAGGA
Molecule: unclassified non-coding RNA, 332 nt
Filed under: soil metagenome
Description: partial contains 5.8S ribosomal RNA, internal transcribed spacer 2, and large subunit ribosomal RNA
Rfam family: 5.8S ribosomal RNA (bases 1-120)
Source: RNAcentral